AUGCAAAUCACAGGGAUCUCUUUAAAAUGCAGAUUCUGACUGAGCUGGUCUGGGUGGGGCCUGGGGGUCUGUAUUUCUAAUAGACUCCCAGAGUGCUUGAAUA
RNAcentral lists this microRNA precursor (103 nucleotides) under Marmota monax (woodchuck). Lineage: Eukaryota; Metazoa; Chordata; Mammalia; Rodentia; Sciuridae. The record is from RNAcentral.